Molecule: ribosomal RNA, 496 nt
Filed under: uncultured bacterium
Lineage: Bacteria
Description: partial 16S ribosomal RNA
Rfam family: Bacterial small subunit ribosomal RNA
Source: RNAcentral
GAUGAACGCUGGCGGCGUGCCUAAUACAUGCAAGUCGAGCGAACAGACGAGGAGCUUGCUCCUCUGACGUUAGCGGCGGACGGGUGAGUAACACGUGGAUAACCUACCUAUAAGACUGGGAUAACUUCGGGAAACCGGAGCUAAUACCGGAUAAUAUAUUGAACCGCAUGGUUCAAUAGUGAAAGACGGUUUUGCUGUCACUUAUAGAUGGAUCCGCGCCGCAUUAGCUAGUUGGUAAGGUAACGGCUUACCAAGGCGACGAUGCGUAGCCGACCUGAGAGGGUGAUCGGCCACACGGGAACGGAGACACGGUCCAGACUCCUAGGGGAGGCAGCAGGAGGGAAUCUUCCGCAAUGGGCGAAAGCCUGACGGAGCAACGCCGCGGGGGUGAUGAAGGUCUUCGGAUCGUAAAACUCUGUUAUUGGGGAAGAAAAAAUGUGUAAGUAACUAUGCCCGUCUUGACGGUACCAAAUCAGAAAGCCACGGCUAACUACGU